UACGAAGGGGGCUAGCGUUGUUCGGAAUUACUGGGCGUAAAGCGUGCGCAGGCGGCUUCUCAAGUCAGGGGUGAAAGCCCAGAGCUCAACUCUGGAAUUGCCUUUGAGACUGAGUGGCUUGAGUACGAGAGAGGUGAGUGGAAUUCCCAGUGUAGAGGUGAAAUUCGUAGAUAUUGGGAAGAACACCGGUGGCGAAGGCGGCUCACUGGCUCGUAACUGACGCUCAUGCACGACAGCGUGGGGAGCAAACAGG
RNAcentral lists this ribosomal RNA (253 nucleotides) under uncultured bacterium. RNAcentral describes it as "partial 16S ribosomal RNA". It matches the Rfam family "Bacterial small subunit ribosomal RNA", at positions 524 to 776 of the family's 1533-position model. The record is from RNAcentral.